This 720-nucleotide ribosomal RNA is filed under the name Priestia megaterium. RNAcentral describes it as "bacterial SSU rRNA". It matches the Rfam family "Bacterial small subunit ribosomal RNA", at positions 34 to 736 of the family's 1533-position model. The record is from RNAcentral. Lineage: Bacteria; Bacillati; Bacillota; Bacilli; Caryophanales; Bacillaceae.
AGUUCAAGGCGGCAUUAUAUACUAGCAGUCGAGCGACUGAUUAGAAGCUUGCUUCUAUGACGUUAGCGGCGGACGGGUGAGUAACACGUGGGCAACCUGCCUGUAAGACUGGGAUAACUUCGGGAAACCGAAGCUAAUACCGGAUAGGAUCUUCUCCUUCAUGGGAGAUGAUUGAAAGAUGGUUUCGGCUAUCACUUACAGAUGGGCCCGCGGUGCAUUAGCUAGUUGGUGAGGUAACGGCUCACCAAGGCAACGAUGCAUAGCCGACCUGAGAGGGUGAUCGGCCACACUGGGACUGAGACACGGCCCAGACUCCUACGGGAGGCAGCAGUAGGGAAUCUUCCGCAAUGGACGAAAGUCUGACGGAGCAACGCCGCGUGAGUGAUGAAGGCUUUCGGGUCGUAAAACUCUGUUGUUAGGGAAGAACAAGUACAAGAGUAACUGCUUGUACCUUGACGGUACCUAACCAGAAAGCCACGGCUAACUACGUGCCAGCAGCCGCGGUAAUACGUAGGUGGCAAGCGUUAUCCGGAAUUAUUGGGCGUAAAGCGCGCGCAGGCGGUUUCUUAAGUCUGAUGUGAAAGCCCACGGCUCAACCGUGGAGGGUCAUUGGAAACUGGGGAACUUGAGUGCAGAAGAGAAAAGCGGAAUUCCACGUGUAGCGGUGAAAUGCGUAGAGAUGUGGAGGAACACCAGUGGCGAAGGCGGCUUUUUGGUCUG